Molecule: ribosomal RNA, 274 nt
Filed under: uncultured bacterium
Lineage: Bacteria
Description: partial 16S ribosomal RNA
Rfam family: Bacterial small subunit ribosomal RNA
Source: RNAcentral
AUACGGAGGGUGCGAGCGUUAAUCGGAAUUACUGGGCGUAAAGGGUCCGUAGGCGGUCUGCUUAGUCUGAUGUGAAAGCCCCGGGCUUAACCUGGGAAUGGCAUUGGAUACUGGCGGACUAGAGUCUGGUAGAGGGUGGUGGAAUUCCCGGUGUAGCGGUGAAAUGCGUAGAUAUCCGGAGGAACACCAGUGGCGAAGGCGGCCACCUGGACCAAGACUGACGCUCAGGGACGAAAGCGUGGGGAGCAAACAGGAUUAGAAACCCUGGUAGUCC